This 266-nucleotide long non-coding RNA is filed under the name Trifolium pratense (red clover). RNAcentral describes it as "long non-coding RNA (TPRA_LNC012040)". The record is from RNAcentral. Lineage: Eukaryota; Viridiplantae; Streptophyta; Magnoliopsida; Fabales; Fabaceae.
UUAUCAACCGGGACAUGAUCAACCGGGACAUUAACUUUAGGUGCUUUAGGUGCCUUGGGUGCUUUAGGUGCCUUGGGAUCUUUCGGUGCUUUAGGUGCCUUGGGAACUUUGGGUGCUUUAGGUGCCUUGGGAACUUUCGGUGCUUUGCUACCUUCGAGCCUUCCCUAAUAAAUCAAAGAAACAAACCAAUCAGAUGAAAAAUAAUAAGUAGAACUAAUUUUUUUUUUUUUUAUAAGCUAGAACAAAAUCUAUGUUCUGUUCCAGCA